Molecule: ribosomal RNA, 888 nt
Filed under: Triticum aestivum (bread wheat)
Lineage: Eukaryota; Viridiplantae; Streptophyta; Magnoliopsida; Poales; Poaceae
Description: partial small subunit ribosomal RNA
Source: RNAcentral
AUGAAAACAAGAUUCAGUAUGAGCGAUCUCGGGCUUCUUAGUUACUAUCUUGGGAUAGAAGUGAAGCAAUCAGCUCGGGGAAUUGCCCUAUGUCAGUCAGCAUAUGCAGCUAGAAUUCUGAACAAGAUGGGGAUGCAGGACUGCAAUCCAAUUCACACUCCCAUGGAGGCGAGGUUAAGGUUGACUAAGUCCAGUAAAGCAUUAGAGGUUGAUCAUACUCAGUAUCGUAGCGUGGUUGGGAGCCUUCGCUAUUUGGUCCACACUCGACCAGACAUAUGCUAUGCUGUUGGUUAUGUCAGUCGGUUUAUGGAGAGGCCCACGACUGAUCACAUGGCAGCAAUCAGGCACAUCCUGAGGUAUGUGAAAGGAACUCUGAACCUUGGAUGUUUUUAUGAGAAAGGAGCUGGAGAGAAUCCACAACUUCUCGGAUAUUGUGACCGUGAUUUAACUGGGGAUGUGGAUGACCGCAAGAGCACUACAGGCAUGAUCUUCUUCCUGGGUGGGAGUCCAAUUACAUGGGCAACGCAAAAGCAGAGAGUUGUGGCUCUAUCGUCUUGUGAAGCCGAAUAUGUAGCAGCCGCAUCAGCUGCAUGCCAAGCAGUGUGGCUAGCUCGGCUCCUUGGAGAAUUGUUGAACAGGGAGCCGGACAGAGUAUUGCUGAAGGUUGAUAACCAAUCAGCAAUUGCAUUGUGCAAAAACCCAGUGUUCCAUGAGAGAAGCAAGCAUAUAGACAUUAGAUAUCAUUAUGUGAGAAGCUGUGUCGAAGAAGAGCAAAUCUCAGUGGAACAUGUCAGAACAGAGGCGCAACUUGCUGACAUAUUGACCAAACCAUUAGCAAGGGUGCGGUUUCAGGAAAUGAAGGAGAAGAUUGGGUUACAAAAUGUUUAG